CUUGCAUCUCAGCUUUUUGGACAGCUUUGCUGCGUCGAAAGGGCCCGAGAUGGUAACCCUGUUCUUGGUGUUCUCGAAAUCAAUCUUCCUGAUGUUCUCCUUUGCUGCAAGCAGGUCCAAAGGCAAAGGGACAAAAUGAGAAUCGAGAUGUCGAAUUACGCACAUUGGAGUUUGCAGAGGACUUUCUGAAUCUUCUUGUAACAUUUCUCGCAUUGGAGGUCCGCUUCAAUGAUCAAGAUAGAAUCCUGCUGGUAAACAAGCUGAUCGAUGUCCCUCAACAACUCGUCUUCAGUUGAGAGAAGCCGGGACCGAGCAGAGAAAUAUAUAGGCGUCUCAAUCUCACUAAUCGUCCAAGGCAGAACAAAAUGACAAUUGGAAUAGUUGGUGUCUUGG
Long non-coding RNA from Panicum virgatum (switchgrass), 393 nucleotides. RefSeq lists it as uncharacterized. The transcript is spliced from 3 exons. NCBI's taxonomy places the organism in Eukaryota, Viridiplantae, Streptophyta, Magnoliopsida, Poales, Poaceae. The record is from RefSeq and is a predicted model, not a curated record.